UACGUAGGGGACAAACGUUAUUCGGAGUUACUGGGCGUAAAGGGUGCGUAGGCUGCUCAGUAAGUCAAGUGUGAAAUUCCACGGCUCAACUGUGGAAGAGCACUUGAAACUGGAGGGCUUGAGGGAAGGUCAGGAAGAUGGAACUCUCAGUGUAGGGGUGAAAUCCGUAGAUAUCUUGAAGAACGCCAGUGGUGAAGACGGCCUUCUGGAUUGAUACUGACGCUGAGGCACGAAAGAUAGGGUAGCGAACGGG
This 253-nucleotide ribosomal RNA is filed under the name uncultured bacterium. RNAcentral's name for it is "partial 16S ribosomal RNA". It matches the Rfam family "Bacterial small subunit ribosomal RNA", at positions 524 to 776 of the family's 1533-position model. The record is from RNAcentral.